Molecule: long non-coding RNA, 567 nt
Organism: Seriola aureovittata
Lineage: Eukaryota; Metazoa; Chordata; Actinopteri; Carangiformes; Carangidae
Exons: 3
Source: RefSeq, a predicted model, not a curated record
GUUAGCUGACUCACUCCAUUAGGAGUUCAUGACCUGGCAGUAAACUAACGAAAAGAAACACACCCAAAGCCCCUUAGGAAAUUGAAAAAAAAAAGUGUCAUGAUGGAACAUGUGAAGAAGUUGCUGACAGUCUGCAAUGGAUUUCACAUGAAAAUAUCCACAACUUGGAAUACUUUUAUGAAAAACCCCUUUAAAGCUCUUGAUCGGCGGGGCUAGGCUAUAUGGACUAAUAUAAAGAAUGGAGGACAGACAGACAAUCGGAUUUGAACAUUUAAAAGAUGACCAGGAAACUCUUCUUGGAUGCUUUUGGGCAGGGCCCAGGUUGAAGUCCAUUCUCCAUCCUUCCCUUGCCCCUGCUUCAGACCAUAAUCCAUUGAUUUUGCUACAGAACUCCAUCAAAUAAAGCGGCGCUGAUUGAGGCAGGGUCAAUGCAGAGAUGCCCCCCCCCCCUGUCUUCAGCGUGACGUGGCUAUCUCAAGUGAAAUGAGCUGGAAAAGCUGCUGUCAUGAGGUGGCAAAGGAGACCGAGAGCCACGAGGGAAAUGGAUUGUAGUCAGAGCCAGAUCUG